This 150-nucleotide unclassified non-coding RNA is filed under the name uncultured Capnodiales. RNAcentral's name for it is "sequence contains ITS1". Lineage: Eukaryota; Fungi; Ascomycota; Dothideomycetes; Capnodiales. The record is from RNAcentral.
CCGAGUGAGGGCCUCCGGCCCGACCUCCAACCCUUUGUUAUCAAAACCACCGUUGCCUCGGGGGCGACCCGGGCCCGUCGGUUCGGGGCCCCCGACGGACAAUCUUAAAACACUGCAUCUUUGCGUCGGAUUACAAAGUUUAAUGAAUUA